CCUACGGGAGGCAGCAGUGGGGAAUCUUGCGCAAUGGGCGAAAGCCUGACGCAGCAACGCCGCGUGCGGGAAGAAGGCUCUCGGGUUGUAAACCGCUUUCAGCAGGAACGAAAAUGACGGUACUUGCAGAAGAAGGUGCGGCCAACUACGUGCCAGCAGCCGCGGUGACACGUAGGCACCAAGCGUUGUCCGGAUUUAUUGGGCGUAAAGAGCUCGUAGGCGGUUCGGUAAGUCAGGUGUGAAAACUUUGGGCUUAACCCAAAGCCUGCAUCUGAUACUGCCGUGACUAGAGUUCGGUAGGGGAGUGGGGAAUUCCUAGUGUAGCGGUGAAAUGCGCAGAUAUUAGGAGGAACACCGGUGGCGAAGGCGCCACUCUGGGCCGAAACUGACGCUGAGGAGCGAAAGCGUGGGUAGCAAACAGGAUUAGAUACCCUGGUAGUCCACGCCGUAAACGUUGGGCACUAGGUGUGGGUUCCAACCAACGGAAUCCGCGCCGUCGCUAACGCAUUAAGUGCCCCGCCUGGGGAGUACGGCCGCAAGGUUAAAACUUAAAGGAAUUGACGG
RNAcentral lists this ribosomal RNA (564 nucleotides) under uncultured bacterium. RNAcentral's name for it is "bacterial SSU rRNA". It matches the Rfam family "Bacterial small subunit ribosomal RNA", at positions 338 to 916 of the family's 1533-position model. The record is from RNAcentral.